Molecule: long non-coding RNA, 258 nt
Filed under: Lathyrus oleraceus (garden pea)
Lineage: Eukaryota; Viridiplantae; Streptophyta; Magnoliopsida; Fabales; Fabaceae
Description: Pisum sativum (pea) long non-coding RNA (PSAT_LNC028311)
Source: RNAcentral
UCAUUUUUAAGGUGUAGGAGUUUGGUUGAGUUGUUUAGAGUUCUUUAGGAACUCUGUUGAGUUAUAUAUAUGAAUUGUUAUACAUUUUGAUGAGCUAUGUGUAAAUUAUAAAAUGAUAAAAUACUCUGUUUAUAUGUUUUGGGCAUGUUGGUGAAUUUUUGAGCCAAUGAGUAGUAAUACACCUUUACCCAGUCGUUGGUAAUUUUUGAGCUAUAAUAUAAUUAUUAAAUUUAAUUAUAUGAAUAUUUUUUAGUUGAG